This 70-nucleotide transfer RNA is filed under the name Zootermopsis nevadensis. RNAcentral's name for it is "tRNA-Ser". The record is from RNAcentral. Lineage: Eukaryota; Metazoa; Arthropoda; Insecta; Blattodea; Termopsidae.
AGUCGGAAAGCUUUAUGAUAAGCAAAUACCUUGAAAGUAAGAGAAAGGAGUUUAAAUCCCCUACCGACUU